GGACCGGCCUGGCGCCGGGUUGGCGACGAUCGUCGCGGGAUCGAGCAUCGGGUCGGACAUCGGUUCUACGCAGGUGCCGGGCCG
RNAcentral lists this transfer RNA (84 nucleotides) under Methylobacterium trifolii. RNAcentral's name for it is "tRNA-Ala". Lineage: Bacteria; Pseudomonadati; Pseudomonadota; Alphaproteobacteria; Hyphomicrobiales; Methylobacteriaceae. The record is from RNAcentral.